Zonotrichia albicollis (white-throated sparrow) is the source of this 928-nucleotide long non-coding RNA. RefSeq lists it as uncharacterized. The record is from RefSeq and is a predicted model, not a curated record. Lineage: Eukaryota; Metazoa; Chordata; Aves; Passeriformes; Passerellidae.
CUCAGCUCGCUCUUUGAAGAAAUGGCAUCCAAUGCUUAUCCCAAGCACAGGGAAAUACCACUUAGGAGUCACUGGGUCAAUCUUGAAGACACUAUUGGGAACACAAGUAGGAACAGACAUAUACUAAUGAGAUGUAGAUGCUCUGGGUUACUCUGCAGCCAAGGACCACCAGGAGCCCCCAGCAUCUCUUGCUAUGAGGGACCUCAGAUCUGCAGAGGUGCCUGGGGGGUUAAUGGUCGAUGUUCUUAAAUUGCCAUCCAGCAGAUGAAAGACAGAUGUUUACUUUUAAGACAUUUUAAGACCAGGGAAAAAAGCACUUUGAAAUUUGAAGAAAAAGAAACAGCUCUCUAGUCAAUGCCUUGUAUAGUCUUCUGCUUGUGGAAGGGAUUAGGCUGAAUCAUGGAAAACAAAAAUGUAAAGUUGCAGAUUUCUGGUCUGCCACUUGUCUCAGUGUCACAGUUGUUAAAUCUGAAACUUUUCCCCAAGUUUUUUAGGUUCAGUUUGAAAUUUCAUAAUCUAUUGAGAAGCUUUCUGUCUUGUGCAUCACUCAUGGUAAAAAGUGUGAGAAGAAAGUCAGUUCCCUAUUUUUCUAAGAUUGUAAUACACAAUGAAGGAAAAGAUUUUGUUUAUUCUUCAAGAGCUCUACUGACAUCACACUUCUCUGAAAAAUAAUGGGGUUUUUUUAUGCUAACAAAGUCCUUAUGGUCCAAAGGCAAAGCUGGGCAAAAAACUGCUCUAGUCUUAGCUGACUAAUAUAUUUUUGGGCAGGAUUGACCCUUUGGUUAUCUUACAUGUCAUAACUCUUUUAACUUUCAGGGGCUGCCUAAAGAAAAAGGUGAAUAGAGGGCUGUAAGAAAUAAUUUUAAUCAGCUUUUCUGAACUUUUCCAUGUUUGAAAAACAACUUGUGUUCUUGUGUUACUUUGUAUG